RNAcentral lists this ribosomal RNA (428 nucleotides) under uncultured bacterium. RNAcentral describes it as "bacterial SSU rRNA". It matches the Rfam family "Bacterial small subunit ribosomal RNA", at positions 355 to 776 of the family's 1533-position model. The record is from RNAcentral.
UCGAGGAUUUUUCUCAAUGGGGGAAACCCUGAAGGAGCGACGCCGCGUGAGGGAUGAAGGUCUUCGGAUUGUAAACCUCUGUCAUCUGGGAACAAUGCUGUUCACCUAAUACGUGAACAGUUGAUAGUACCGGAAGAGGAAGCAGUGGCUAACUCUGUGCCAGCAGCCGCGGUAAUACAGAGACUGCAAGCGUUGUUCGGAUUCAUUGGGCGUAAAGGGUCCGCAGGCGGUCGGUUAAGUCGGAUGUGAAAUCUCACAGCCUAACUGUGAUAGGUCAUUCGAAACUAGCCGGCUCGAGGGGUGGAGAGGAGACUGGAAUUGCUGGUGUAGCAGUGAAAUGCGUAGAUAUCAGCAAGAACACCGGUGGCGAAGGCGAGUCUCUAGACACUUCCUGACGCUCAGGGACGAAAGCCAGGGGAGCAAACGGG